AUUGAACGCUGGCGGAAUGCUUUACACAUGCAAGUCGAACGGCAGCACGGGUGCUUGCACCUGGUGGCGAGUGGCGAACGGGUGAGUAAUAUAUCGGAACGUACCUAGUAAUGGGGGAUAACUAGUCGAAAGAUUAGCUAAUACCGCAUACGCCCUGAGGGGGUAAAGCGGGGGAUCGUAAGACCUCGCGUUAUUAGAGCGGCCGAUAUCUGAUUAGCUAGUUGGUGGGGUAAAGGCCCACCAAGGCGACGAUCAGUAGCUGGUCUGAGAGGACGACCAGCCACACUGGAAACUGAGACACGGUCCAGACUCCUACGGGAGGCAGCAGUGGGGAAUUUUGGACAAUGGGCGCAAGCCUGAUCCAG
RNAcentral lists this ribosomal RNA (365 nucleotides) under uncultured bacterium. RNAcentral's name for it is "bacterial SSU rRNA". It matches the Rfam family "Bacterial small subunit ribosomal RNA", at positions 30 to 391 of the family's 1533-position model. The record is from RNAcentral.